RNAcentral lists this ribosomal RNA (440 nucleotides) under uncultured bacterium. RNAcentral's name for it is "partial 16S ribosomal RNA". It matches the Rfam family "Bacterial small subunit ribosomal RNA", at positions 338 to 795 of the family's 1533-position model. The record is from RNAcentral.
CCUACGGUGUGCAGCAGUGGGGGAUCUUGCACAAUGGGCGCAAGCCUGAUGCAGCGACGCCGCGUGAGCGAAGAAGGAUUUCGGUAUGUAAAGCUCUAUUAGCAGGGAAGAAAAUGACUGUACCUGACUAUUCACCUUUGGCCAAAUACGUGCCAGCAGCCGCGGUCAUACGUAUGGCGCAAGCGUUAUCCGGAUUUACUGGGUGUAAAGUGAGCGUAGGCGGCUUUGUAAGUCUGAUGUGAAAAUUUGGGGCUCAACCCGAAACGUGCAUUGGAAACUGGAGGUCUUGAGUGCCGGAGAGGCAGGCGGAAUUCCUAGUGUAGCGGUGAAAUGCGUAGAUAUUAGGAGGAACACCAGUGGCGAAGGCGGCCUGCUGGACGGUAACUGACGCUGAGGCUCGAAAGCGUGGGGAGCAAACAGGAUUAGAUACCCCAGUAGUC